RNAcentral lists this ribosomal RNA (368 nucleotides) under Pithites sp. RNAcentral describes it as "SSU rRNA". It matches the Rfam family "Eukaryotic small subunit ribosomal RNA", at positions 587 to 975 of the family's 1831-position model. The record is from RNAcentral. Lineage: Eukaryota; Ciliophora; Phyllopharyngea; Dysteriida; Plesiotrichopidae.
AGCUCCAAUAGCGUAUCUUAAUGUUGUUGCAGUUAAAAAGCUCGUAGUCGAAUUUCUGUCCGGGAAACACCGAACUUACCGUGUGUAUUCCUAGGUCAUCCGCCUAUGAUAGUGUAAGGAGAUUAAUUUCUACUGCAUUGGAGUAGGCACUUUACUUUGAAGAAAUUAGAGUGUUUCAGGCAGGCCAUCGCUUGAAUACACCAGCAUGGAAUAAUGGAAUAGGACUCGUUCUGGUUAUUGGUGAAUUAGAAAGAGUAAUGAUUAAUAGGGACAGUUGGGGGCAUUCGUACUUGUUAGUCAGAGGUGAAAUUCUUCGAUUUAACAAAGACGAACUAAUGCGAAGGCAUCUGCCAAGGAUGUUUUCAUUG